Molecule: ribosomal RNA, 440 nt
Filed under: uncultured bacterium
Lineage: Bacteria
Description: partial 16S ribosomal RNA
Rfam family: Bacterial small subunit ribosomal RNA
Source: RNAcentral
CCUACGGGUGGCAGCAGUGGGGAAUAUUGCUCAAUGGGGGAAACCCUGAUGCAGCGACGCCGCGUGGGUGAUGAAGUUUUUCGGAUUGUAAACUCCUAUUAUUAGAGAAGAUAAUGACGGUAUCUAACGAAUAAGCACCGGCUAACUCCGUGCCAGCAGCCGCGGUAAUACGGAGGGUGCAAGCGUUACUCGGAUUCACUGGGCGUAAAGGGAGCGUAGGCGGGAUAGCAAGUCAGAUGUGAAAUCCUAUGGCUUAACCAUAGAACUGCAUUUGAAACUGUUAUUCUAGAGUACGGGAGAGGUAGGUGGAAUUCUUGGUGUAGGGGUAAAAUCCGUAGAGAUCAAGAGGAAUACUCAUUGCGAAGGCGACUUGCUAGAACAUAACUGACGCUGAGGCGCGAAAGCGUGGGGAGCAAACAGGAUUAGAUACCCUAGUAGUC